UACAGAGGGUGCAAGCGUUAAUCGGAAUUACUGGGCGUAAAGCGUGCGUAGGUGGUUUGUUAAGUCAGAUGUGAAAUCCCUGGGCUCAACCUGGGAACUGCGUUUGAUACUGGCAGACUAGAGUGUGGUAGAGGGUGGUGGAAUUCCCGGUGUAGCGGUGAAAUGCGUAGAUAUCGGGAGGAACAUCAGUGGCGAAGGCGGCCACCUGGACCAACACUGACACUGAGGCACGAAAGCGUGGGUAGCAAACAGG
This 253-nucleotide ribosomal RNA is filed under the name uncultured bacterium. RNAcentral describes it as "partial 16S ribosomal RNA". It matches the Rfam family "Bacterial small subunit ribosomal RNA", at positions 524 to 776 of the family's 1533-position model. The record is from RNAcentral.